GAGUGAAUUCACCGGCGGACUCAUAAUCCGUUGGUCGAUGGUUCAAGCCCAUCACGGCCUACCA
RNAcentral lists this transfer RNA (64 nucleotides) under Variovorax boronicumulans. RNAcentral's name for it is "tRNA-Met". It matches the Rfam family "tRNA", at positions 13 to 71 of the family's 71-position model. Rfam says of the family: Transfer RNA (tRNA) molecules are approximately 80 nucleotides in length. The record is from RNAcentral. Lineage: Bacteria; Pseudomonadati; Pseudomonadota; Betaproteobacteria; Burkholderiales; Comamonadaceae.